This 553-nucleotide ribosomal RNA is filed under the name uncultured bacterium. RNAcentral describes it as "bacterial SSU rRNA". It matches the Rfam family "Bacterial small subunit ribosomal RNA", at positions 111 to 692 of the family's 1533-position model. The record is from RNAcentral.
UAACACGUGGAUACUUACCCUGUACUCGGGCAUAACCAGCCGAAAGGUUGGCUAAUUCCCGAUGGUCUCGCAAGAGUAAAGCUCCGGCGGUACAGGAAAGGUCUGCGGCUUAUCAGCUUGUUGGUGGGGUAAUGGCCUACCAAGGCUAUGACGGGUAGGGGACGUGAGAGCGUGACCCCCAACGAUGGGACUGAGACACGGCCCAUACUCUUACGGGAGGCAGCAGUCAAGAACAUUGGACAAUGGACGCAAGUCUGAUCCAGCGACGUCGCGUGCGGGAUGAAGGCCUUCGGGUCGUAAACCGCUUUUAUAGAGGAAGAAUCUUCGGAUGACGGUACUCUAUGAAUAAGGGGGUGCUAAUUCUGUGCCAGCAGCCGCGGUAAAACAGAACCCCCGAGCGUUACCCGGAUUCAUUGGGCGUAAAGCGUCUGUAGCCGGUUUGGCAAGUCUUACGUUAAAUACCAAGAGCUCAACUUUUGGAGUGCUUAAGAAACUGUCAGACUAGAGGGUGUUAGGGGUUGAUGGAACUCUUGGUGGAGGGGUGAAAUCCGUG